Amphiprion ocellaris (clown anemonefish) is the source of this 1660-nucleotide long non-coding RNA. Lineage: Eukaryota; Metazoa; Chordata; Actinopteri; Pomacentridae. The record is from Ensembl.
UAUAUCUAUGGUCGGCACGUCUGGUAGCAUCUCUGGCUGCUGUUGACCUUGUUUUUGGAGUAAAACACGGUGGAAGCUGAAUUAGUGAGGAUGACUCCUGCUCCUGUCAUCUCUAAGCUCUUCACACAUCUUUACCUGCACAUGAGGAAAAUCACUCCUGUAGAAUGCAGAUGUUCAGAGGGAGAUGAUGCCACAUCUGGUCCAGCUGAUGGAAGGUCUUGAAGUUCUCUGACUGGCCUCGACUGAAGAUGGUCGUCUCACUGGAUUUAAGGUUCAGAUGCUCAGUAACAAACUCCACCAAUGUGCCAACAGGGAAGCUUUAGGUUUAUUAAAUGUUGCUAUGAAGGUUUCGCUGUUUUUCUUUGUGAAUGCAAUGUGCUCCAACUGAAACUUGAAUUAGAACUUAGAAGUAAAUCCUUCCAUCUGAAAGGAUUUAUUUGCAUUAAUAACCUCAUAACAUUCUAAUUUUUAUUCCAGUCUUGGUUGGAAAUAGAAUCUCUGUAUUGAUUCAGGUAAAAACUGAACUUCACAGCAUGUUGGAGCAAAACAACCAGAUGAAAACUGUGAUGGUGUUGGAUUGUCAGACCGUAAUGUUGCAGCUCAAAGCAGCUUUUCUAUCUCAGUUCAUUCUGACAUUCAGCUAUGAAUCAACACAGCAGAUGGUGAUCCAUGCUGUGGAAGUCUCACAUCUCCUCAUUUAAUGGAGCUGCUUUGCACUUUUUACACUGUUUAUUCACCAACACUUUAUUUAAUAAAAGUCCCAUCUAGUUUUCAUGAGGAAUGUGAUGUUUUAAUUUCUCUGUGAAUAACUGCAGUCUAAUGGAACAGCUGGAGUUGUAACAUCUGUCCUGAUAUUGAUCAUGAAGUAUUGAUCAGAAUACUUAUGGUUAGCAGUCAUCCCUGAAGUUUUACAUUAAAAUCUUUACUUGUGUUGUGAACUUUGGUAAGAAGCAGAAACUUUAGCGUUGCCAUGGAUACAUGAGUGUUAAAGUCUGUCCAUGUUUCCAUUUUGGGAAAUGAAGUCCAGCAGAUGAGUUUGUUUUUACUGGCAGCUACUAUUCAGUCUGAGAUAUUAAGAAUAAAUAAAUGUGCAUAAUGUGGAAAUGACCAGAUUUUAUUUUUAUUAAUUUCUACAGCUGCUACAUGGAAAGUUCCCGAAUGUGGAGGAAUUUAGGAUCACAAUCACAGACAAUAAAUAUUAUCUGAAAGUCGGGUUUUUAUUGUUUAUCAGCACAAUACAAAAAGAUUAAUGUUAGACAUAUUCCAGUUAAGACUCUAGAAUAUCAUGAUUUAUGUAAAUUUACCUCAAUAAUAUGAAUGUUCAGGUUAAGAUUGUGCAGUGAUAUUUAUUAUGUAAGUUUAGCUGAUUAAAGUUUAUGACUCUGCACUACAAUAUUAUUUAAAUUUACAUCAUUAUUAUAAUAUUUAGGGCCAGACCCCUGACAUGAGGAAAAAGACUUUAUUGAAGACUACAAUGAGAAAAACUAGCAGACGGCUGCAUUCAAGUCUGUAGCUGCUGAAUUCAUGGAUGAAUCAUCUGGCACUAGAGAGGAAGACCAUCAAACAUCCACGUCAGCUGAUGGAGGUCCAAGAGUCUCACCCAACAAACAACCUACAGAGUGAAGACCUCUAACCUGAUUGGACGGCCUCCUAUUCAGCC